Molecule: ribosomal RNA, 689 nt
Filed under: Bacillus safensis
Lineage: Bacteria; Bacillati; Bacillota; Bacilli; Caryophanales; Bacillaceae
Description: bacterial SSU rRNA
Rfam family: Bacterial small subunit ribosomal RNA
Source: RNAcentral
GUCGAGCGGACAGAAGGGAGCUUGCUCCCGGAUGUUAGCGGCGGACGGGUGAGUAACACGUGGGUAACCUGCCUGUAAGACUGGGAUAACUCCGGGAAACCGGAGCUAAUACCGGAUAGUUCCUUGAACCGCAUGGUUCAAGGAUGAAAGACGGUUUCGGCUGUCACUUACAGAUGGACCCGCGGCGCAUUAGCUAGUUGGUGGGGUAAUGGCUCACCAAGGCGACGAUGCGUAGCCGACCUGAGAGGGUGAUCGGCCACACUGGGACUGAGACACGGCCCAGACUCCUACGGGAGGCAGCAGUAGGGAAUCUUCCGCAAUGGACGAAAGUCUGACGGAGCAACGCCGCGUGAGUGAUGAAGGUUUUCGGAUCGUAAAGCUCUGUUGUUAGGGAAGAACAAGUGCGAGAGUAACUGCUCGCACCUUGACGGUACCUAACCAGAAAGCCACGGCUAACUACGUGCCAGCAGCCGCGGUAAUACGUAGGUGGCAAGCGUUGUCCGGAAUUAUUGGGCGUAAAGGGCUCGCAGGCGGUUUCUUAAGUCUGAUGUGAAAGCCCCCGGCUCAACCGGGGAGGGUCAUUGGAAACUGGGAAACUUGAGUGCAGAAGAGGAGAGUGGAAUUCCACGUGUAGCGGUGAAAUGCGUAGAGAUGUGGAGGAACACCAGUGGCGAAGGCGACUCUCUGGU